RNAcentral lists this ribosomal RNA (1341 nucleotides) under Phytophthora ramorum (sudden oak death agent). Its description in RNAcentral is "eukaryotic LSU rRNA". It matches the Rfam family "Eukaryotic large subunit ribosomal RNA", at positions 24 to 1155 of the family's 3401-position model. Lineage: Eukaryota; Oomycota; Peronosporomycetes; Peronosporales; Peronosporaceae. The record is from RNAcentral.
CCCGCUGAACUUAAGCAUAUCAAUAAGCGGAGGAAAAGAAACUAACAAGGAUUCCCCUAGUAACGGCGAGUGAAGCGGGAUGAGCUCAAGCUUAAAAUCUCCGUGCAAGUUUUGCACGGCGAAUUGUAGUCUAUAGAGGCGUGGUCAGUGAGGGCGCUCGGGGCAAGUUCCUUGGAAGAGGACAGCAUGGAGGGUGAUACUCCCGUUCAUCCCUGAGUGGCUUUUGCGUACGACCCGUGUUCUUUGAGUCGCGUUGUUUGGGAAUGCAGCGCAAAGUAGGUGGUAAAUUCCAUCUAAAGCUAAAUAUUGGUGCGAGACCGAUAGCGAACAAGUACCGUGAGGGAAAGAUGAAAAGAACUUUGAAAAGAGAGUUAAAGAGUACCUGAAACUGCUGAAAGGGAACCGAAUCGUUUCCAGUGUCUAUAAUCCGUGGCAUAUUUCAUUGGCGAGUGUGUGCGUGCGUGUGCUGUGGCAGUGGCUUUUUUGGCUGCGCUCGGCGUGUGUGCUGUGURUGCUUGUUGGUGCCCUGUGCUGCGGUGGGACGUCAAGGUCAGUUCGUAUGCUGCGGGAAAUGGCUGCCGAGGAGGUAGGGCUUACGCUCCGCGUUUGUCUGUUAUAUCUUGGUGGACGAGUAGUCGCGGUUGGGACUGAGGUGCCUACAACGUGCUUUUGAGUGUGUAUGGGUCUCCGUGUGCGCCGUGUGCGGAUAGCUUGCUAUGCGUGUGUGGUUGUGUGUGGAUUGAUGCGUACUGUAACUUGUCGCCGUUCGGGACGUUGACGAAAUGGAGCGAUCCGACCCGUCUUGAAACACGGACCAAGGAGUCUAACAUGUGUGCAAGUGUUAGGGUGUGGAAACCCCAGCGCGAAAUGAAAGUGAAGGGCAGCGCAAGUUGUCUGAGGUAGGAAACGUUGCGGGCUUCGGUCUGCGGCGUGGCACUAUCGACCGAUCAUGAGCCUUCGUGGUGAAAGAUUUGAGUUUGAGCACAUAUGUUGGUACCCGAAAGAUGGUGAACUAUGCCUGAGUAGGGUGAAGCCAGGGGAAACUCUGGUGGAAGCUCGUAGCGAUUCUGACGUGCAAAUCGAUCGUCAAACUUGGGUAUAGGGGCGAAAGACUAAUCGAACCAUCUAGUAGCUGGUUCCCUCCGAAAUUUCCCUCAGGAUAGCAGCAACUUUUUUACGAUAGUUUUAUGAGGUAAAGCGAAUGAUUAGAGGAUUCGGGGAAGAAACUUUCUCGACCUAUUCUCAAACUUUAAAUCUGUAAGACCUGCAGGUUUCUUAAUUGAACUUGUGGAUGUGAAUAUCAAGUUGCUAGUGGGCCAUACGGGGUAAGCUCGUCUGGCG